GGGCGGAUGGUUUAGUGGUAUAAUUUUCCCUUAGCAUGGCCAGUCCAAUUAAUUUGGCGGUUCAGCUUCUCAUUGGGAAAGGUCCGGGGUUCGAUUCCCCGUUCGUCCA
Molecule: transfer RNA, 109 nt
Organism: Trichoderma harzianum
Lineage: Eukaryota; Fungi; Ascomycota; Sordariomycetes; Hypocreales; Hypocreaceae
Rfam family: tRNA
About the family: Transfer RNA (tRNA) molecules are approximately 80 nucleotides in length.
Source: Rfam